Molecule: ribosomal RNA, 492 nt
Filed under: uncultured bacterium
Lineage: Bacteria
Description: partial 16S ribosomal RNA
Rfam family: Bacterial small subunit ribosomal RNA
Source: RNAcentral
AGUGAACGCUGGCGGUAGGCCUAACACAUGCAAGUCGAACGGCAGCACAGUAAGAGCUUGCUCUUACGGGUGGCGAGUGGCGGACGGGUGAGGAAUACAUCGGAAUCUACUUUUUCGUGGGGGAUAACGUAGGGAAACUUACGCUAAUACCGCAUACGACCUACGGGUGAAAGCAGGGGAUCUUCGGACCUUGCGCGAUUGAAUGAGCCGAUGUCGGAUUAGCUAGUUGGCGGGGUAAAGGCCCACCAAGGCGACGAUCCGUAGCUGGUCUGAGAGGAUGAUGAGCCACACUGGAACUGAGAGACGGUCCAGACACCUACGGGAGGCAGCAGUGGGGAAUAUUGGACAAUGGGCGCAAGCCUGAUCCAGCCAUACCGCGUGGGUGAAGAAGGCCUUCGGGUUGUAAAGCCCUUUUGUUGGGAAAGAAAAGCAGCAGGUUAAUACCCCGCUGUUCUGACGGUACCCAAAGAAUAAGCACCGGCUAACUUCGUG